Molecule: ribosomal RNA, 504 nt
Filed under: uncultured bacterium
Lineage: Bacteria
Description: bacterial SSU rRNA
Rfam family: Bacterial small subunit ribosomal RNA
Source: RNAcentral
UUUGCCAGAGAUGGCUUAGUGCUCGAAAGAGAGCCGUAACACAGGUGCUGCAUGGCUGUCGUCAGCUCGUGUCGUGAGAUGUUGGGUUAAGUCCCGCAACGAGCGCAACCCUUGUCAUUAGUUGCUACGAAAGGGCACUCUAAUGAGACUGCCGGUGACAAACCGGAGGAAGGUGGGGAUGACGUCAAGUCCUCAUGGCCCUUAUAGGUGGGGCUACACACGUCAUACAAUGGCCGGUACAAAGGGUCGCAAACCCGCGAGGGGGAGCUAAUCCAUCAAAGCCGGUCGUAGUCCGGAUCGCAGUCUGCAACUCGACUGCGUGAAGUCGGAAUCGCUAGUAAUCGUGGAUCAGCAUGUCACGGUGAAUACGUUCCCGGGCCUUGUACACACCGCCCGUCACACCAUGGGAGUGGGUUUUACCAGAAGUAGGUAGUCUAACCGCAAGGGGGACGCUUACCACGGUAGUAUUCAUGACUGGGGUGAAGUCGUAACAAGGUAGCCGUA